CCUGCCGCAUGCAGGGGGAUACCGGCUGGAAACAGCCGCUAAUACCGCAUAUGCGCACAGCGCCGCAUGGCGCAGUGCGGAAAGGGAGCAAUCCCGGCAUGCGAUGGGUCCGCGUCCGAUUAGCUUGUUGGCGGGGCAGCGGCCCACCAAGGCGACGAUCGGUAGCCGGCCUGAGAGGGCGGACGGCCACAUUGGGACUGAGACACGGCCCAGACUCCUACGGAAGGCAGCAG
RNAcentral lists this ribosomal RNA (233 nucleotides) under uncultured bacterium. Its description in RNAcentral is "partial 16S ribosomal RNA". It matches the Rfam family "Bacterial small subunit ribosomal RNA", at positions 125 to 354 of the family's 1533-position model. The record is from RNAcentral.